This is a long non-coding RNA of Amborella trichopoda, 906 nucleotides long. RefSeq lists it as uncharacterized. Lineage: Eukaryota; Viridiplantae; Streptophyta; Magnoliopsida; Amborellales; Amborellaceae. The record is from RefSeq and is a predicted model, not a curated record.
GAGAUCAUCCACUUUAUUUUUUUCAAAUGUUAAUUAAGAGAGAGAGAUCAUUCACUUUAUUUUUCCCAAGUGCUAGUUACCAUAGUUAGCAGAACAUUCAUUCAAUCAAUUUUUUGUGAAUAAAACUUUUGUCCUGGUGUGACAGCCCAUUUGCAUGAGGAAAUUCGUGGUGUUUCGUGUCUCAUUCCAUCUAAAUCUACCUAAUUUCUUUACUUCAAUAAAAACAAACAAAAUAAGAAACAGAAAUUAAUAACCACUCUUUAUUAUUUUGAGGCCUGGUUUUCCUCUUCCCUUUCUCAUUUUGACUCACCAUCACAAUCUCACUUCUCUUUUGAUCAAACCAACCUUCAAUUUUUCUCUCAAAUCACAGUGGAUUGAGUGUAUCACUAACUGCAAUUUCCCUUUUUCUUUUUAUUGUUUUUGAAGUUGACUGUUAUUUAUCUCAUCCUUUUUCUCUUUUCCAGAUUUAGAAGAUAUUUUGGGGAAAAUCAGAAUCAGAAGAACAUUGAACAUAUACAGGGUGACACAAUGGAAUCGAUGGAGCUGUCGUCUCGCACCAUCCUUCAGUUACAAGGUACUGUAUCUUCAUCUACGACUCUCUCCAGACUUUGGACUUGAGGACCAACAUUACAAGGUAUAAUUGCCCCUCUCUACAGAGGCACCACGCACCAUUCCAUAUUUUCAAGGCAUAGCAUCUACAAAGUACCAACGUUACAUAGGCAGUUCCAUGCAUUUCGGAAGCCAAAUGGUACAAUAAUCAACUAUUGAGUGUCUUUUCAAUUAAAAUAUGUAGAAAGAGAAAGAGGAAGAGAGAGAGGAGGAGAAUUGUUUAUGGCCAAUUAAACUGUUCAUUGAUUAUGUCGCAAAAGGUUGAGACAAGUGGAUAAUGACCAAAAUGUUAAUAUU